AGAAUCAACACUGGCGGCGUGCCUAACACAUGCAAGUCGAACGGGAAAGUGGAGCAAUCCAUGAGUAUAGUGGCGACCGGGUGAGUAACACGUGACUAACCUACCUUCAAGUGGGGGAUAACCUCGGGAAACCGGGGCUAAUACCGCAUAACAUCUUUGUGCUGAGAAAGCAGAGAUCAAAGGAGCAAUUCGCUGGAAGAGGGGGUCGCGGCUGAUUAGCUAGUUGGUGGGUAAUGGCCCACCAAGGCUUUGAUCGGUA
RNAcentral lists this ribosomal RNA (259 nucleotides) under uncultured bacterium. RNAcentral's name for it is "partial small subunit ribosomal RNA". It matches the Rfam family "Bacterial small subunit ribosomal RNA", at positions 26 to 285 of the family's 1533-position model. The record is from RNAcentral.